AGAGCGGCGUACGGGUGCGGAACACGUGUGCAACCUGCCUUUAUCAGGGGGAUAGCCUUUCGAAAGGAAGAUUAAUACCCCAUAAUAUAUUAAUUGGCAUCAAUUGAUAUUGAAAAACUACGGUGGAUAGAGAUGGGCACGCGCAAGAUUAGAUAGUUGGUAGGGUAACGGCCUACCAAGUCAGUGAUCUUUAGGGGGCCUGAGAGGGUGAUCCCCCACACUGGUACUGAGACACGGACCAG
RNAcentral lists this ribosomal RNA (242 nucleotides) under uncultured bacterium. RNAcentral describes it as "partial 16S ribosomal RNA". It matches the Rfam family "Bacterial small subunit ribosomal RNA", at positions 92 to 334 of the family's 1533-position model. The record is from RNAcentral.